Molecule: non-coding RNA, 20369 nt
Organism: Oryctolagus cuniculus (rabbit)
Lineage: Eukaryota; Metazoa; Chordata; Mammalia; Lagomorpha; Leporidae
Source: RefSeq, a predicted model, not a curated record
UUGGGGAGGGAGGGAGAAAGGAAGGGAAGGAGAAGGAAAGUAUUGUUAUAUUUUUGGAAUUGUAUCAAUGAAUUACACUGAAAUUGUCCUUUUUGUAUUAAUACCAAAUAUUAACAUGAGACUUGAAAAAAAUUAAAAACCAAAAAUAGACACUCAUAAAAAAUCCCCACAAAAUGUUCAGUACCUGUAUUUAAGCAUAUUGUAGAUUAUGUAAGAACAUUAGAAUAUCAUUUAUAAUAGUGAUACUUUAGGGAGGCGCUGACUAGUCGAAUACAGUUUUAUAGCAUUAAUGUAUAGUCUUACAAGUAAGACUCUUAACUUUCUUUUAAUGUAGUAUCUGGCUUUGAGUGGUUUUCUGUGUUCUUACUGUGACUGGCCAUGGUAGUCCUGAUCUAAUGCCCUGUUCAAAGAAAUCUUUCUGUUUUCAGGAACUGUAUUUUUAAGCUAUGUUGGGGCAGAGUAUUGAGAUUAAUUUAAGACCUUCUUGGUUCACAGUGUAGUCUUUGAUUCCAGGAGUGUGACCUCUAAUGACUCUCUUGUCCUUUUCUAAAAAUUUCCUUCCAAACCCAACUAGGAUCUACCAGAUCUUUAUUAAUAUAAGCAAAAGUUGGCAGUAUAUCAUCUAUACCGUGCACAUAUACAUGUAUGUAUGUAUGACUCUCAUGUUGUGUAUCACAAACUUGGGGUCUUUGAGUUCCAAAGGUAAGAACUAUUUUGUUGGAGAGAAACAUCUUCACCUAUGGUUUACAUGCUUUUACAUUUCUUUUUGGAAAAGAUACAUAUCUGACUUAACCACUGCAAUGCCAUAGAAGCCCUGACAAUUUCUGCAAUGCUAACAAGCCCUUUUUAUUUUAUAUUUUAUAUUUUCCUAUCCAUUAUCUUGGUCUUUAGCUCUUACAGACAAACUUAAAAAUCAUUUUGUCCAGUUUUCACUCCAGUGAAGGGUUGGCAUUCUUCAGUGGGGAACACACUAAUACAAAUCUAUGGAAUUUGAUCUGGUUCAGGCUCUUUUCUGAUUCAGACAUGAUGGUUUCUUUCUUGUACAUUCAGCCAUUUCUUUACAUACUUAUGCUAUGCCUUUUUUUUUUAAUAAUAAAGACUUAUUUUAUAUCCUCAUUAAUCAGAUAAUCAGAGCAUUUCCUUUCACCUGUGGCCUAAAUCCCCAGUCAGCCCCUGAUCACAUUCCGGAGGAGCUAUGUGUUAGUAGAGUUUUGAAACUUUUCCGUCCAUAAGCGCGUGUACACCCACAGGCGUGUAUACAGCAGGGGAAAAUAAUUCCCUUCAAGGACAGGAACACCUUCCCUGCCAUCAGGCAUUCUUCCAGCAAGGGGUUUUUGAAUCCCCACUUUGUUCUUGUGACAUUGUUUAUUUAUUUAUUUUUGUUUUAAAGGCUCACAGAAUGAGAAAUAUCUUCCAUCCAUUGGUUCACUCCCCAAAUGUCCUCAUAGCCAGGGCUAGGCCAGGCUGAAUGCAGGAGCCUGAAACUCAAUCCAUGACUCACAUAGGGGUGGCAGGAACCCAAGUACUUGAGCCAUCACCUGCUGCUGGAUUGGAAACAGAGCCGGGACUCAAACCCAGGCUUUAUGAUAUGAAACGUGGGAAUCCCAAGUGGUGACCCCACUGCUGUGCCAAACACCUGCCCCCACUGAUUUUUAAUCGACAUAUAAAAAUUAAACAUGCUCCUGGGGGCACAGUAAGAUAUUUGGACAUAUACACAAUGUGCCAUGAUCAAAUCAGGGUAGUUAGCAUACCCAUCACCUCAAAUAUUUGUCAUUUCUUUGCAUUGGGAAUAUUCAAACUUUUCACUUGUAUGUAUUCGAGGUAUACAAUAAGUUAUGGUCAACUGUAGCCACCCUACGGUGUUCUAAAACACUAGAACUUAAUCCUCCUAACUCUAUUUUUGUACCCAUUAACCAACCUUUCGCUAUCUCCAGUUCCACCUGCCCUGCCCAGCUCCUCACUGUGUUUAUUGAAUGAUAUCUAUUUCUUUGCUUCCUUCAGACACAUUUUUAAAAAAUGAAAGUUCACGUUGAAAUAAUGGAAUUUGUUUUAGAAAGCACUGCUCCCUGAUUCGGCUCUACAUUUAGGCUCGCUAAGCAGUGAGAUAAAUCACGUUGAAAGAAAACAGUCCUCCCCUGCAUCACGCUGCGGCUCAGCACAUACAAAAGAACAGACAUCGUUACCAGCAUCUUCCCGACAAGAUGCGGUCUGCCCAGGCCCUUCUUUAUUUCUCACAUUCAUAGUCUUGCCUUUUUUCUUCUUUUCUACUCUAUUUUAACUGUGCUUGGAUUUCCUAUUUGGUCAAUAACAUGAAGAUCCAUGGAUAAUCAAGUAGUAUUAAUUCGGAAGAAUUAGUAAUAACUACACACACACACACAUAAAAUCUGUUGUAUUGCUUUUCAGAACAAUAACCAAAAUAAAAGCACCCAAAAACAAACUAAAUGUUCAAGCAGAGGAAUGACAAAGUAAAAAGAUAAGAGAUUAAAAUAAUGGGAAUACCAGAAAGCUGUAAGUUGGUAAGUUGGGUACUAUUUUGAAACAUGGGGACAUGAAAUAACAUAACCAAGACAGGCAACAUACAAUGACCAUGAAUGUAAAGAUUAACCGUAACGCAUGUUUUCAUGUGUGCAUGUGUGUAUAAUCUUCAUGUCCUUAGCCGUCUCUCUCUAUCACCUAUUGUCUAUCUCCAUCCAUUCAUUAAUUCAUAUUGAGUAGGAGUGGUGAAAGAAUUCAUUAAAUGUUAAUUUUUUCUUAGCAAAGCAGCUUGAAUUGGUAAUUUCUUAGCAUUCUAAACUUGAAGGGCUUCUACCACAGGUAAAAUGUUCGAUGGAAAGCAAAUGUCAAUUUUUUUUUUUUUAAAGACUCAUAUUUCUAGGGCCUGCACUGUGGUGUAGCGGGUAAAGCCGCUGCCUGCAAUGCCGGUUCAAGUUCUGGCUGCUCUGCUUCCACUCCAACUCUCUGCUAUGGCCUGGAAAGGUGUGGAGGAUGGCCCAAGUGCUUAGGCCCUGCACCCGCAUGGGAGGCCUGAAAGAAGCUCCUGGCUCCUGGCUUCAUAUCAGCACAGCUCUGGCUGUUGUCACCAUUUCGGGAGUAAACCAGUAGAUGGAAGUGCUCUCUUAAUCUCUCUCUCUCUCUGCCUCUCUGUCACUCUGCCUUUCAAAUAAAUAAAUCUUUAAAAAACAUAUUUCUUAAUUUUUAAUUUUUUGCCAUGUAGAGUUAUACAGAGAGAGAGACAGAGAGAGAGAGUUACAGACAGUGAGAGAGAGACAGAGAGAAAAGUCUUCCUUCUGUUGGUUCACCCCUGAUGGUCGCUAUGGCCGGCGCUGUGCCAAUCCGAAGCCAGGAGCCGGGUAUUUCCUUCUGGUCUCCCAUGCAGGUACAGGGACCCAAGCACCUGGGCCAUCCUCCACUGCCCUCCCAGGCCAUAGCAGAGAGCUGGACUGGAAGAGGAGCAACUGGGACUAGAACCCGGCGCUCCAACUGAGACUAGAACCCGGGGUGCCGGUGCCGCAGCGGAGGAUUAGCCAAGUGAGCCAUGGUGCCGGCCACAAAAAACAUAUUUCUUAUCAUCAUGAUUCAUUGUAUUUUGAUUUCUUAAAAAGAUUUAUUUAUUUGAAAGGCAGAGUGAGAGAGAGAGGAAGACACACACACACACACACACACACAGAGCAAUAUCUUCCAUCCACUGGUUCGGUCCCUAAAUGGUUGCAAUGACCAGGACUGGGCUGAGCUGAAGCCAGAAACUAGAACUCCAUUUGGUUCUCCCAUGUGGGUGGCAGGAGCUCAAACACUUAGGCCUUCUUCUGCUCCUUUCCCAGGCGCUUUAUCAGGGAGCUGGAUCAGAAACAGAACAGCGGGGACACGGACCGGCACGCUGAUGUGGGAUACUGGCGUCAUAGGUGGCUGCUUAACCUACUGUGCCCCAGUGCUGGCUCCAAUAUUUCAUUUUAAAUGAAGGUGAUAUUUAAUUUCUCAAAUGAAUAAAAUAAACCUUGUCCAGAAAUCCACAUUUUGGUUUUUAGGAAAGAUAUUUCAUAAAGAGAAAACUGAGGAACUCUACAUUUAUGGAGGUUAGGCUUCCAUGAACCUCAACCAUCUGGAACCUGGAAGUGAGUUAAAAACAGGACUUGAAAGACAUGGUAGGGUGGGCUGUCACAUUUAACCCUGGCAAGGUACAGAGCCACCCAGAUAUCCCAGAAACCCACCAUGUCUGAGAAAGAGACAGACUAGAAGCAAGGUGAAGGGUAUGAGACAUAAAGAAAGCUGAGAAUAGGAAGACAGAAACACAAAAGCAGACUUGGAGACCCGGAAAUCUCUGCAGUGUGGAGUCCUCUGCUGCAAGGUCAGAGAGCUCUGUUGAGUUUAACAGCUCCUCCCCCAGAUAUUUGAGCAUCGUCAUUACUACCAAUAUUCUUUUUUCUUUUUUUAAAUUUAAUUUUUUUUUUAUUAGACAGGUAGAGUUAUAGACAGUGAGAGAGAGACAGAGAGAAAGGUCUUCCUUCUGUUGGUUCACUCCCCUAAUGGCUGUUACAGCCGGUGCUGCGCCAAUCCGAAUCCAGGAGCUGGUGCUUUCUCCUGGUCUCCCAUGCGGGUGCAGGACCCAAGCACUUGGGCCAUCUUCCAUUGCCUUCCCGGGCCACAGCAGAGAGCCAGACUGGAAGAGGAGCAGGGAGCAGCCGGGACUAGUACCCGGCGCCCCAACUAGGCCUAGAACUCAGGGUGCCGGUGCCGCAGGCAGAGGAUUAGCCAAGUGAGCCAUGACGCCGGCCCUACCAAUAUUCUUAUAAUAAACUAUAUUAUUUGCACUUUAUUUUACAAGGCAGAGAGACAGAGAGAAAAUAUGUGCAUGAGAUCUUAUGUCCACUGGUUUACUCCCCAAAUGCCUACAACACCAGGGCUGGGUUAGGCUGAAGCCAGGGAGCCAAAACUCAAUCCAGGUCUCCCAAGUGGGUGGUAGGUUCCCAAGUACAUGAGCCAUCAUUUUCUACCUCUCAUUGGCAGGAAGCUGGAAUCAGAAGUGGGGCUGAGACUCAAAUGCAGGCCCUCCAGUAUGGGAUGUGGACAUGUCAGUGGCAUCUGCUGUGCCAAAUCCCACCCCAAGAAUCUGGUGUUUUCUAAGAAUGCAAGAAUAUAAAUGUGUAAUAUUUUAGAAGGAUUUUUUUAAAGGUAGUUAUUGCUUUGAUGACCAAAACUCAGUUAUCUGGAUAAUUCAACUCUGUGAAUUGCUGUAUUUCUCUUAAUGCCCAAUAAAAUAUUCUUUUAGCUAUCACUGAAGAACAUUCUUUUGCUGACCAAGGGUUCUUUACAUUUUCUCCUAUUUCCAUGCUAAUAAGUUGAUUGUUUUUGUCCUUUUUCAAAACUCAGAAAAAGACCAAAAAACAAACAAACAAAAGAAAUCCCAAAACUAAUGGCAAAUAGCCCCUGGAGUCUAUAUCUUUCAUUCUGGGAAAAAUUAGCUUUGGCUUCCUAGGGCACGGUUUUCAUUGAAAAGAUUUUUUUUAAAGAGAAGAACUUUUCAGUUAAUCAGACUUGUAUUAACAAACAGAGCAAGUUGUCUCAUCUCAUUUCUUGAUGUUCAAAAAUUAAAUAGCUUCUGCAUGAUCUAAAGAUGAAAAGUCUUCUGAAGAUGAGAAGGCAGGUCUGCAAGGCCUCACAUGGUGCUACAGCUCUGGUUAAGGGCACUGCAUAUGGAGUUAUACUGCUGGGUUUCAGUCCUGGCUUUGUUAGUUACUAGUUUUAUGACUUGAGCAAGUUACUUACCUUUCCUAAUCCUUAGUUUCUAGUAGAGAUUUUGGGAUAAUCCAUUUACAGUUCUAUUUUAGUGCCUGUACAUGGUAAGCACUUGAUAAUUUUAAGUCAUUGUUGUUACUCCUAACUUUUUAAAAGAUUUUAGUUAUUUGAAAGGCAGAGUUACAGAGAAAAAGGGAUACACACACACACAGAAUGACUUUCUGUCUGCUGAUUUACUCCUCAAAUGACUGCAAUGUCCAGGCCUGGGCCACCCCAAAGCUAGGAGCCAGGAACUCCAUCCCGGUCUACCACGUGGGUGCAGGGGCCCACUACUUGGGGCAUUUUCUGCUGCUUUCCCAGGCGUAUUAGCAGGGAGCUGGAUUGGAAGUGGAGCAGCUGGGACUUGAACCAGCAGCACUCACAUGGGAUGCUGGCAUCGCAGACUGUGGCUUAGCGAGCUGUGUUACAAUGCUGCUGAUGAGAAGCCUUGGAAUGUGAUUCUUUUCCUAAUGAUUCAAGGAGAAUCUGAAGAUAAAGCAGAGAUCAGCUGAGACAUACUGUGCUCCGAGGCUGCAAGAAGAUGUCUAUUAGAACAUACGUCAUGACACUCAUAGAAAGUAGUUGGGAAACUGAAGUAUAGAGAGGUUUCCUCCUUAUUUGCAGGUUCACCGUGGUGGCAGAACCAUGUACAGUGUACACAGCCCUUUAUGUACACUGCAGACUGUGUACACAUGGACAACAGGAACCCCAGUGAUGUCCAGUGUUAUCCUCCAGCCAGCACCUUGGUCACCCUUUCCCAGUCAGUGUCUAUUGCUCCCUGUCUUUACUACCUUUUUGUUUUAUUUCAUUUUUGAUUGACACAUAAAAAUUGUAUAGAGGCUGGCCUUGUAGUAUAGUGGAUUAAGCUGCCACCUGUGAUACCAGCAGCCCACAUGGGCACUGGUUCAAGUCUUGGCUGCUCCAUUUCCAAUCCAACUCCCUGCUAAUGCUCUUGGGAAAGUAGCAGAAGAUGGUGCAAGUGUUUGGGCGCCUGCACCCACAUGGAAGGCCCGGAAGAAACUCCUGGCUUUGGCCUGGCCCAGUUCCAGCUGUUAUGGCCAUAUAGAGUGUGAACCAGCAGAUGAAGAUCUGUUUCUCCUUCUCUCUUUGUAACUCUGCCUUUCAAAUAAAUAAAUCUUUUUAUAAAGGUAAUUGUACACAACUGUGGGGUACAUUGUGAUGUUUUAAUACAUAGAUACCUCUUAUAAUGAUCAAAUCAGUAAUUACCAUGUUCAUCACAUCGAACUUUUAUCAUUUCUUUGUGGUACAGCAUUGAAAACCCUCUCUUGGUGCUGUUAUGAAACAUGUAAUGCAGUAUUAUUGCCUGUUGUUCAAUAGAACACCAGAACUUGUUCCUGUUUAACUGUAGCUUUGUACCUGUUGAACACCCUCUCUCCUGCCCUCGAGCUUCCUUGCCUCUCCAGGCGCAGUAGUCAGUAUUCUACUGUCUACUUCUAUGCGACUGACUUGUAUUUAUUUAUUUAUUUAUUUACUUACUUACUUAUUAUUUUUAUUUAUUUGAGAAGUAGAGUACAGGGAGAGAGAGAGAGAGAGAGAGAGAGAUCUUCCAUCUGGUUUUACUCCUCAAGUGACUGCAACAACCGGGCCACAGUUUGACUUUUGAAGAUUCCACAUAUGAAUGAGAACAAAAGAAAUCAGGAAAGCAGUCCCAUUUACAAUAGCUAUAAAAAUAUGUAGGAAUAAAUUUAACCAUGGAAGUAAAAAUUCUGCAGCCUAAGCCACAAACUGUUGAUAGAAGACGUUGAAGAAAGCACAAAUAGUUGUAAAGACAUCCUGUGUUAAUGGAUUGGAAAAAUGAAUAUUCUUAAAAUGUCCAUGCUAUCCAAAGCAGUGCACAGAUUCGUUGCAAUUCCUAUUAAAACACCAAUGAUAUUCUUCACAGAAAUAGAAAAAUCAAUCUUAAAAUCACAUAAAAUCACAAAAGACCCCCAAGUGGCUGAAGAAAUCUUGAGCAGGAAGGCUGGAGGCGUUCCUGUUCUUGCUUCUAAUGCCAUCUGCCCUGUAGCUGCGGCUGAUCCUCUCUCUUCUCAUUUUCCUCCUUCUCUUCCGUGUGCUGUUCUUUUUGUCUAUCAUCUCUGCUGUCCCUGUCCUGUACUCUACUGUAGGCUUUUGAAUGAGAGGUAUGAUUAUGGACACUGCAAACCAAUCCAUGCACAGUGUCUCUUUCCCUUUUCACGAUGAGCUGGCCCUUACUUGGGUGAUCAGUGUAAGUUCUUGGGGUAGGGUCUGGAGCUUUUGUUCACCAUCUGUCUCUGGUACUUAAGCACCACCUGGCCCACGGUGGGCACACAGCAGGUACUUGAUGAAAGAGCCCAUGAUGUGUGAUUUUGGACUUCAACUUUUCGCAGUUGUGUUUACACGUAGCUGAGUGUUCAGGGGGCUAGGUUUUUGCCUCCGAAAGAGGUAGUGAGAUGUGUUCGUGAUCUCCUUUUGAGUCUGGCGUUUUCCCAGAAUUCUAAAGAUCUGGAAAGUUUGUAUAAGCAAAAAGAGUGGUGUAAUUAUGAUUUGCAUGUUGUCUUUCAGUCAGCUGAUUAGUGAGCAGCAACCCAAGAACCUCCUAAAAAGAACAAACAGAUAAACAAAACCAAGCAAUCCAAACCCAGGAAGCUAUCCGAAUAAAGGGGAAAGAUCUGGACUCUUUUUCCCCAGGUAGUUUAUCAAAUGUACUGUCUGCUUAAAACAAACCCAUUAAUAUCAUCUUAAUAGACCCACAGUAUUUCUAAAAAUGGCAAAGAAUUAGAGUUUUUGACGAUCCUGUUGUGAACUUGUCACCUCUGGUAGUUUAAAUCACUUAAUUUUAGAGAAUAAAUGAGAUAUUUCGGGUAGGGGAAUACAGUGGAUCAGAAUAACUAAUUCUUGAGUGAGAAGGGACUUUAGAGGCCCUGUGGUGUGACCUAAAUAAUACAGGAAUUCCUUCCCCCAAAUCCCUGACAGAUGGUCAUGCACUUGUGUUUUUAGUGUCAGGAAAUUUGUUAUUUCAAGUGGUAGCAUAUUUCAUUGUUAGACAGUUUCAAAGUUAAAAAAUAAUAUUUUUACACAUCAAGACAAAAUUUCUUAUCUCUCCUCCGUCCACUGGUCCUAGGAUGUUUAUUAAAUAUUCUACAUUUGUGUUUUAGUGUAAGUUGGCCAGAUAAAUGGCUGCACACUUAAGGGAAGAGUCCUCACUGUUGGGUGCUUGGGAAGAAGUUGCUGGGGGGGGGGUGUCCCUGUCUGUGGAGGGGCUCACGUUCUAAUUAGGAGACAAGAUUAACUAUACUUUAAAGUAACUGACAAGGGACGAUCGGAUGAAUGGUUUCCUUAUGCUGUCACAGGUUUGCAAAUCUUGAAAAAGAAAGUUAGGAACUAGGAAAUAAACCUUGAACUAUGAAUAUGAUUUUGGAGGUAGCAGACUUAGGACAACAGGAGACAUGCAUAGUGUUCUAGUCAGAUAAGGAACAGAUCAGCCCCAUAGAAACCAAGGAUAAUAACAGACAUUAAGUUAAGUAGGAAAAAUAUGGAAGAACUUGAGAGCUCUAAAGACAUCUUUAUCGUAACCAGUCAAUUGCCUUCUCCUUAUAUUUUUCAAAUUAUGAAAGUAAUACAUAACUGUAACAAAAAUGCAAACAAGGCAGAAGUGUCUUAAUUAAAAAAGUGAAGAAAAAACUUUUUGUAUUCCAUUUCCUAGACCCAAUCACAGUUUUAACCACUUCAUAUACUCUUGUAUGAGGGUACUUUGAAAAGUUCAUGGAAUAUAGGGAUUAAAAGGUAAAUUUAUUUAGGUGCAAACUUUUGAAAUUCAUGCAUAAUUUCUCAUAAUGAUCACUUUCCAAAAACUUUUUAAAGACUCCUUGUAUCUAGGAGUCACCAAACUAUCACCCAUGGGCCAAAACCCUGGCCCUGCUACUUGUUUUUAUAUGGCCUAUGUGUUAAGAAUGAUUUUUUUCAUAAUCAAAUGGUUGGAAAAAUUCAAAAUAAUAAUAUUUCAUGGCACACAAAAGUUGUGUGAAAUUCCAAUUUUAGUGUCCGUAAAGAAGGUUUUGAAAAAAAAUUUUUUUUUGACAGGCAGAGUGGACAGUGAGAGAGAGACAGAGAGAGAGAAAGGUCUUCCUUUGCCGUUGGUUCACCCUCCAAUGGCCGCCGCGGCCGGCGCACUGCGGCCGGCGCACCGCGCUGAUCUGAUGGCAGGAGCCAGGUACUUAUCCUGUCUCCCAUGGGGUGCAGGGCCCAAGGACUUGGGCCAUCCUCCACUGCACUCCCUGGCCACAGCAGAGAGCUGGCCUGGAAGAGGGGCAACCGGGACAGAAUCCGGCGCCCCGACCGGGACUAGAACCCGGUGUGCUGGUGCUGCAAGGCGGAGGAUUAGCCUAGUGAGCCGCGGCGCUGGCCGAUUUUGAAUUUUGUAAACAAAGAUUUUAUGGGAAUUUGUUUUCCCUCCUGUUAUAUAACUAUCUACCAAAGAGCCGUGAUUCUGUGCUUUGGCCUUUAGAGUCUGAAAUAUUUACUAACUGGCCCUUAACAGAAAAGAUUUUCUGGACACUGAUACGUUGAUUCAAAAAAAUUUUUGGUAAAUAUACACACUCACACAUGUAUAGAGUGUUAUGUUUUGUGUGUAAAAAGCAGGAUUGUAUGGAAAAUAUCAUAGCAAACUUCUUUAGAUCUGAAACCACUGUGUUAAGAGCCACUGUUCCUUGUGAGGUUGACUGUGACUCAAAGUCAGAGGCCUGGAAAGGAAACCGUGGCUCAGGGGCCCUGACCCUGCGACAAUCCCGCUGUACAGUGCUGUGCCCUGGAGUCAGGUACCCACUGCAGACAGGAGUGGGCGAGCCAGACGUGAAACAUUCCACUGGGGCCAGUCCACGGGGCAUGUGGAGCCGUCCCAGGACCAUGCAAGUCACCGAAGGAGAUGAGGGGCCUGGAGAGGAGGAGCCCUUUGUUUCCAGGUGGGCACCGGGAGAACGCGGGUGCCAUGGGUGGGAGUAGUGCAAGGGACGGGGUAGUGAGCCUUUCAGACUUGCUACCUUUCCAGCAGUCCACACCACACCAAGCCAGGGGCUCCAGUUGGUGGCGGCUCCGGUUCCCGCCGUCAUCUGAAGAAUCCACACCCCCUCACCGUGUAGCUUCCUCUUUCUUGACUGGUUUAAUAAAAUGCAAGUUUUGCAUUUUGAAUGAAGGGAGUUCUGUGGGCCUUUUUUAUUUGGACAUAAGCAACACAUAAGUGUGGGCCAUUAGGUGACCGCUGAAUAUUUGGGCUUUAUGUUAAAACAGAGUCUGGAAAAGGAAUGAAUCCUGGGGACACAUUUAUCACCAUUUAUUUCCCUUCCCGGUGAGAGACAAGAGUUGUGGGUGAAGAAUAUCUUGAGGGAAGGAGGCCCUCCUUACACUGACGUCUGUGGGAUUUUUGGGGAACGGCUGAGGGUGUUGCCUCCAUGAGUAGAUUCCCAGGUGGUCGGUGACACGGUCACGGGGUCACACUGUGCACCCACAGCCCACGUGGGUUCAGGUGUGUUCGGUCAGUGUGGAGUUCUGUGGAAAAGAGAGGAAGUCCCGCUGUCCUGCUAGUAAGUGGACUCCAUGGCUGGGCCGGCUGCCCCAUCACAGCUCCACCUUGUGGAUUUGUGUCUCAGAGAACCAGGAUAGCUGCUUUUCUGAGUGCCUUUCACUUCUCGCCAUUCCAGGGACAUUUAGAGAGUUGCGUAGGCUUAGUGAGUAAAUGUAGCCUCUCCAUGAACUUAGAUUUGAACCAUCUCUGGGUGUGUGUAGGCCUUCCUCAAGUCUCCCGACCGAUACCUGAGAAUUUUAUGUAAAUUGGACAGGGGCAUGAGGCACCCUAAGAAGUGUGAGAUGGGCCUCAGGGUGAUUCAGCGAGAACCUGUGGCCGAACCUGUGGCCGCUGGCUAAGCCAGGAGGCUUAGUCAGGAAGCCUGGUUCUUAUUACGCCACCUGCACUGGUUUGCUCUGUGACGUUGGGUAAACUGCACAAGUCCUGUGUUUCCCCAGUGGGAAGCGAAAGUGUCAUGAUUUAGCAUCCAAUUAUUCCAAGUGGAAUGCGUGUGGGGAAAAAGCAAAAUUUUCAAAGCGCUUUGAGCAUCUAUAAAGAAGGAUGGUAUCUGGAUUUUCAGGAUCACUAGUGUUCUGUUCACUGUGUCUUGGUGAAGAUAGUCUUUGCCAAAAGGACACAAGUUGUAUCUCUUAACUCAUUGAUUUUAUAAUCCUCCCACUUACUGUUCGUGGUGCCUUUAGUAAUGGUUUUAAACUUACUACCUAUUUGGGGGGAUGUCAUGGUUCUGUUAGUGAUUCUGUUUCUUUUUAAGAAAACAUUUAUUUAUUUGAAAGAAUUAGAGGAGGACUCACACACACACACACACACACACAGGAGAGAGAGAGAGAGAGAGAGAGAUCUUCCACCUCCUCGUUCAUUCCCCAAAUGACUGCAAUGACUAUGGCUGGGCCAGGCUGAAGCCAGGAGCCAGGGAGUCUUCUGGGUCUCCUACCUGGGUACAGGGACCCAGGGACUAGGGCCAUCUUCUGCUGCUUUCUCAGGCAUAUUAGCAGGGAGCUGGAUUGGAAGUGGAUCAGCCGGGACUUGAACCUGCGCCCAUAUGGGAUGCCUGUGCUGCAGGCUGUGGCUUAACCUGCUCUGCCACAGUGCUGGCUCCAGUGAUACUAUUUCUUGUCCUUCCUGGAGAAAAGAAUCAUAGACUUUCAGAUAUAGAGGCAUUCCUUCCUAUGUUUUCAGAAAAAUAUAACUGUGACUUCUGUGACCAAAUGUAUUUUUCUCAAUGGGGGAAAUUUUUGAUAUCUGAAUGCAUAGAAUAAAAGUAAUACUGGUUGAUGAGCACACUGUUAUACAAAUGUGCAGGUGGGGUUUCUAAAUACCCAUCCUACUAGGACCAUACUCAUACCAGAGCUUCCCAUUGUGUUCUCUGUAGAGUAAAAUUCAGUGUAUACUGGAUAAAACUUUCAAUUUUCCUGGGAUAAUUUAAUUGGGUAUCAAAGAGGAUUGAGAAGGUCGUGUCACUGUAGUUGUGGUUCUGAAGGCAGUGUGGGGCUGUUAGGGAACUGUUCUCUGUAGCGAGACACUCUGUGGGUGACAGCGUGUUGUACCCCCACAGCGAGGCCUGUAUUGCACACUCUGAGGCUGUCUUGACAAUCCGGGGAUGGAAAAUGUCCCACUUGGGGUGUUAACCCAGAGUCGCGGGCAGUGUUUUCAGUGGAGCCCACCAAUGGCCCAGCAAAGGGCUGCUUUCUGGGAAUCUGGAAAGCAAUCUGUGUGUGUGGCUGUGCCCUGAGCAGUAGGUGUCACUGUAGUCAGUAGCUUUUACUCCCCGGAGCCGAAGGGGUUAAGUGGGUCUGGGUUAGAAGGGCAGAUCCCGGCCCAUCUGUGCCUCCUGGGGUGUUGUUCUUUGUCUCUGGGGCACUGGUUGGCUCCAGUGAAAGACCAAGUUGACUCCAUUUUUCUCUAAGAUGGGGAGGAUACUUUCCCAGCGAUGUUUUAGAGCCCAAGGCUGGGAUCUUCGCUGUCUUGGGGUGGGGUGGAUAACAGGUAAGAGGAUGCUUCCGAAGCUGGGUAGAGAGACCACAGAUAGUGGGGAAGGGGAUUCUAUUAAGAGAAGCGAAGGAUUAUGGAGCCGCAGCAUGCGCUUCCUUGUUGUUACUGGCCCAGAGCCCUGUGACCAAAGUGUGAGCUCUCGGAACUUGUCUCAGCAUCCUUCAGAGAAAUGUCCCUCCUUCCACAAAGGAAGCAAUGAGGGGGGAAAAUCCUCUUCCUAGCAGAGAUGUUCUUCUUUUGCCACUUUCCACUCCAGAAAGUCAAUUUUCAAAAGCUGAAGUGGAAUCCAGGAUUUAGAAAUAGCUGCUGUGUUGACUAAUUUAAAAAAAAAGAAAAAAUCUCAUGAGCACAGAGCCAAUUGCUUUUUUUCCAGAACGCCCAAUUUUACCUUUCUUUUCCAGUAACACCCUGGUGUGAAAACAAAAUCAGCCCUAGUAAACUCAUGGUAGAGUUUGUUUCAUCUCCUCUCUUAUUUAUUUAUUUUGCUGGGAUAACCCAUCUCUCUGUACCCAUCUCCCAUCCAGCACCGUGUGGUUUGUCCUUAAGAAAGCACGCACGAGGGCAAUGUAUACGAUUUAUGCAGAGACACUCAUUAAAAAUCACUCCUGCCUGUCCAGUCUUUGCUCUUCCUUCCAUCGCCUGCCUGUUGGUUGUUGUUAACACUCUGAUUAAGCCUUGCUCUUAAUAGUACAAUAUGUUCAGCUCAGACUGCUCUCUGGAGUCCUCCCUCUCUCUCUCCCUGCUCUCUCUUCCUCCCUCCUCCACUCCCUCCCCCUUCUGUCUCCCUCAGAGUGAGUGGCUCCUUUGAAACCGUCCGCACACGCGCUGAGCCAGGUGGCAUUGCUUCCUGCCUCUCCUGCUCGCUGUUGCUAAGUGAGAGGCACCAUAUCACACAGAAAGCUGAACCAAUAGCGUCCUGACCCCCAUCGGCUGGUAAAAGCUGAGGAGAGAGAAUCCCACAGUGUUGUCUGUGACCGGCGGGUCCUCCUCCCCCUCCCACCUUUUCUUUCCCAACAGGAAGGGGAGGUGGCGGGGGAGACGCUAGGAGGAAGAGGGAAGAGAGAAUGGGGGAGGUGAAUCCUAGUCCGCCUUGCUGUACUUGAGAUAAACGCCGCUCCUCUCCCUUUGUGAAGAAAAGGAAUGGGCGCUUCUCUGGUGCAGUCACGGGCAAACAGAUGCGCAGCUUUCUGCCCCCAAACUGCCUGUGUUGUCAGAGCUCAAACUCAGAAUAAGAUGUCUGUUGGCCUGCAGAUCUGCGCGUUCUCUACGCAUUCUCUUCUCUCUCUCUCCCUCUCUCUGUACGCACCCCCACCUCGGCGCCCCGAAUCUUUUAAUCCCCACAGUUUAACAGUUUUGUGGAUCUUGGCACCCCGAUCUUUCUUCCUCUUCACCUCUCUUGUUUCCUUUCUGUUGCACAGAAUGCGUUUCCUUUGAAUGUAAAAUUUAGCGGAAGAUAUUUUACAUUUUGUCUUAGGAGGAAGUCAUUAGAUCUUCCUAAGGAAGGGGGCAAGGGAGCAGGAGUAUUUAUAGAGGGAUUUUUUUUUUAACUCCGCUGUUAAGAAUUUCAUAGUUUGGCACAAGGUCUAUGCAAGCACAAAGUGAAAUAAAAGGCUGUUCUUCACUGGAUAACUGCCAGUGUAGAUAGCCAGUGUAUAGUUGAGAUUAUACAGAAGAAAUGACCUUUCUCCUAUAAUUACCUGGCUAUUUUAGGCAACAUCAGAACCAAGUUACCUGGGUAAUUAUGGCUUUGUAGAUCUAACCUUAGAACAAAACAGAUUCCGGUUGAGUUUUCCACGGAAAAUAUUUGCUGUCUUUGGUGGUGAAAGUCGUGAAGGUGCCCGCUGGUUGUGCAAUCACAAGCCCAGUUACAAGGAGACUUGCUUCAUUUCUGUGCCCAGUAGGUUCCCAGUAAAUUUCUCCUGACCUUUGGGAGAUGGCUUUAUUAUUUGGUCAUUUGUGUGCUUUUGAAAAAAAUAAGCCUUAAUUAAGUUCUGCUCUUAGUAGCACAAUGUGUUAGUCUCAGACUGCUCACUCCGUCUGAGUGUUUACUUCUGAGUCAAGGGUGGGUUUCCUGGAUUUCUCAUAUUAUGGCUAGAUACCAAAAGGAUGAUAUUCAUGCUUAACCUGUCCACUUCCCCCACCCCCACCAGAAAAUUUCCUUUUGUACAUGGAAUACUGCCUCACUACUAGGCCAGAAACCCAUCCCACUCAAGAUCACACAGAAAAGUGAUCUUUUAUUAUCCCAAUCCACCUGCCUUUCCCAGCCUGUGUACUGACUUUUGCCUUCUUGUUUGUUUGAAGUAAACAAGAAAUGUUUUCAUAAAGGGAAGUGUGCAGGAUCAGGUUAAGCAAUGGAGAAUUAAGGGUGAAAAAGCCUACCCAGUGCUGAGGACCUGGGAUGUUUUUCUUUUGGUCUUAAGAGCCUGUCUUCUUCUUAUGAACUAACAUGAAGUAAAAGACAGCCGAUGUUGCUAGCUCGUACUUAGGGCAUUUAAAGCUAAAAUUCUUAGAUAAUAUCUCAUUUUACCUGCUUUCAGUCUCCCCCAGAUUAAACCGGAGCUAGGGAUUUUUACAGGUAGCCAAAUGUUCAUAUUCAAGCAAUGCCAUCAUCUACUGUGCCCAUUUUGGGGGGGAGGGGUAUAUGACAAGGAAAUACUGCAAAAUUUGGUAAAGUUUAAAAAAGCCAAGAAAUUAAAGGACUGUGUGGCGAAUCCUGGGACCUCCACUGGUACUCCUGCUACUGUGGGUUGGUGGCAGGCUGUCACUCAUCACCAUUCUUCUGGGAUGCUCACCCUGUGCUGAGAGUGUGGAGUUGGGAGCGCAGGGUGAGCCAGACCCUGGCUCCCUGCUCCAUGGUUGGGUUUCAGCCCUCUGGUUAAGAUACGGGCACUGUGCUUCAGCCAAGUUAAACCUGGCAAGACCAGCUCUCCCGGCUUCUCUUCUUCUCCCUACUUUAUAAUUCUCUUCCUUCACGUCCCUGCUUUGCACCCAGCCCUGCUGCCCGAAUUCAGCACUUUCUCCCAAAUUUCCACUUGUCCCAUGUUCAUUACAGGCACUGGCUGUGGCUUCUCAGCCACACUGCCUUGCUAUCCAUUUCCCCUUGCUGUGCCCUCUGCCCAGACUGCGGCUUCUCCAGGGAUUUCAGCCUAUGGAAAUCAUAGCUGCAAAAGCUCAUCUCAAAUACUGUCUCCUCAGUGAAACUUUUCCCUCCACCUCUCCCACUCAGACCUCUUCUCCCAGUCCUUGAACAAGGCACCCUGGGCCGCCUCCUUCCCAUCUCUGUUUCAGAAUUUGCCAUCUUCUACUUUGAGUUGUGCUUACUUUGCCCUUGAUGGUACCAGCAGCCUCUAAAAGGAGGCCUUUAGCCACUCUGCUGUAUCCCCACGUGCCAUCAAAUAUAUAUAUAUAUGUAAAAAUAUAUAUGAUGACACAUGGAUUGAAUUUGCUAUGCAAUAGUUUCAAGAGAGUCCUCAGGUGCCCUGUGCAGUUCAGUGCUAACCUUAAAUUCCUCCAUUUUUUUAAAAAUUAAAAAAAAUUUUUUUUAAUUUGACAGAGUUAGAUAGUGAGAGAGAGACAGAGAGAAAGGUCUUCCUUUGCCGUUGGUUCACCCUCCAAUGGCCGCCGCGGCCGGCGCGCUGCGGCCGGCGCACCGCGCUGAUCCGAUGGCAGGAGCCAGGAGCCAGGUGCUUUUCCUGGUCUCCCAUGGGGUGCAGGGCCCAAGCACCUGGGCCAUCCUCCACUGCACUCCCGGGCCACAGCAGAGAGCUGGCCUGGAAGGGGAGCAACCGGGACAGAAUCCGGCGCCCCGACCGGGACUAGAACCUGGUGUCGGCGCCGCAAGGCGGAGGAUUAGCCUAGUGAGCUGUGGCACCGGCCGAAAGGUCUUCCUUCCAUUGGUUCACCCCCCAAAUGGCUGCUACAGCUGGCGCACUGCACCGAUCCGAAGCCAGGAGCCAGGUGCUUCCUCCUGGUCUCCCACACGGGUGCAGAGCCCAAGCACUUGGGCCAUCCUCCACUGCCUUCCCGGGCCACAGCAGAGAGCUAGACUGGAAGAGGAGGAGUCGGGACUAGAACCUGGUGCCCAAAUGGGAUGCCGGCACCGCAGGUGGAGGAUUAGCCAAGUGAGCCAUGGCACCAGCCCCAAAUUCCUCCUUUAUAGAGGAUCGGAACCCAUAUCCUCUCUCCUAUGGGUCAGUCAGGGCCAGAGCCGUGUCUUUCCCAUCUCUCUGUUCCCCAAAGUUCUUAAGGUGACUCUUUGGCCCCAGUUGGCUCUGCAGACAUAGCUGUUAAACUGUCCCGCAGUGACACCCAGGAAACCAGAAGGAGUAUGCUUUUGAUUCAUCAGGUUUUCAAACUAUGUGCGGAGAACAAGGAAUAUGUUUGUGAAUAUCUUAAAUUAGAUCAUGAGGUCCCAAAGACGAUAUUAUGGUAUUUAUCAGUCAGGAGAGGCUAGGUGGUGAGAUGGUUAACAAACAACUCCCUAAGUGUUAGUGGCCCCAAAUGUCAGAAAUUGACUUCCUGCUUGUUAAUCGUGGGUUGAGAGGGAAAGAGAAUGACCCAUUCUGACAAAACCAGCCACCACCCCACCCUAGUGAUCCGGCCGAAGGAAUGGGAGCCCCAGAGGGGCUGUCGUCAGCACUCGAGGGUUCCAGCCCAGAAAUGGCACCUGUCACUCUGCUCACAAUUUCCUGGGCAGAAUCAGUCACAUGAUAGCAUCUUACCACAGGAGGGCCAGGAAGUGCUCUUCUACCUUGUGCCUGGAGGACAGCUAGAAAUGCUGGGAUAAUAGCACAAAUAACUCUCACAUUGUUAUUCAUGCAAAACCUUCUAGAGGAAAUUCUGUGCUGAGUGUGGAAGCAGGAGAACAUUCACCUAAUUCCCUUCUUUUUGCAUAUCCUCGGCUCCAGAAGAUGGCCACAGCAACUUGUCCAUUAUUUAUACCCCUUCAACUGCUCUUACCAAUACUUCAGAGACUCUCUUGAUCGUGAAGCUAGUCUCUUAGCACCUGCUCAGGUUCACUUUGACUGUUGCCACAGCCAGGAUCACAGAAAAUCAGUCGAGGUUUUAUGAACACAUUCUAAGAAAUUAGAGCAUGUACAGAUAUUAUAUAUUAAUGCAUUAUGUUUUGUGUUGAAAUGCUGGAAACAGACUAACUGUCCAACAGUAGGGGAUUAGCUGUGUAAGAUACAGUAUAUAUGGAAAUGGAAUAUAUGGAGCUGCUAAAUUGAUAUUGUAGGAGAAUAUUAAUGAAAAAAAUGUUCACAAUAUAUUGAUUACUGAUUUCAUCAAAAGCAGGUCCUAGAACAGAAUAUCUAAAAUAUUAUGCUUUUAAAAAAUGUACCAGAAUCGGAAUCAGAAAGAAAACUACCAAAUAUGUGAACUACCGAAUAUGUGAAAGCUUACCUCUUUAUCUGUCUGAUACUAGGAGUGACUUUUGUACUCUUCCCUUGCUUUUGUCUUUGGUUAAGUUAGCAAGAAUAAAUCUCUUUGGCCUGUAACUUCAAGUAGCAUACAUGGUUUUACUUCUUGUAGGUGAGUAGUUUGGUGUCAGAGGUAAAUACAAAUGAUUCUCACGUGUAUGGUGGAAUGCAGCUGGUGCUAAGACAGCAAUUCCGAAGCAGUGUUCCUGUGGAUCAGAGACAGUGUGACGUCACUCCACAUGCGUUCGGGCCCAGGAUUUUACCAUUUCCUGCCCUUUCUUCUGCUGAGCCGCUGUAUAGAUCGUCCAUGGCAUUUGGACUUGACAUUUCACAGCUGCUGCAAAUCCACUAAGCAGGGACAUGACACUGGCACUGUGAGGCCGCUGGUAGCACACUGGCUUGUAAAGAUUUGCGAAAUUUGCUGAGAUCUUGAAAAACUGGCAUGUAUUUAUUUUGGGAUGAGACAGACUCUUGUGAAAUAGGGGCCCAUUCUGGAAGAACUUGUAGCACUCAUUCAUCUUGUGUUGUGCACGGAGCUAUAAUGCUACAGCUGUCAUCCACGCUCAAUGAGCGAUUGUCAUAUUGUCAGUCCCCAAUAAUACCAAACAAUUUUCCUUCCCCAUGUUGAAGCAUCACCAUUGUAAUAUAAUUCAGUUCAUAUUAACAAUGCUUUGAUGACAAUUUCUUUCCACUCCUCCCUCAUAGCCCUCCCUCUCUCCUUUUCUUAACCAGAGGGAAAUGUAUUUUGACAAUAUCUCCAGUGCUAACAAUUUUCUUCCCUUAAAACAUUUUGGGCCCAUAGCCCUUACUGAAACUGUAGAAAACACACCAAUCUUUUUUUCUUUUGCUGUCUUAGAGCUCUGUCUUGGAAUUAGAUAGUGCCUUCCCCAGAAGAACUAAAAGCAUGUUUACCCAUUUGUCUUAUUUAUUCUUAAAACAUUGCCAUUAAAAAAAAAAACAAAACCCGUGUUAUUAUUUCUUCUGUUAGAACACAAUUAGAACUCAGCUCUGUUCGCUCUAGGCUUUAUCAUCUGUUCAUUCAAAGAGACUGCUUAUUUUCCCGAGUGUUAACAAUAAUGUUGGUAACUAUUUACAUGACGGAAUUAACCACCCUAAGGAAUUUAUAUUCACUGAUUUUCCCUAGAGAGGAAAUUGGUUCUAUGUAUGAGUCUUCACCGAUUUUCAAGGUACUUUCCUGUCACAAUAGACUAUUUUAAACUGAUUGAGAGUGUUGUCUUUGUUAGAAUUUUCCCAAGAGCUAAAUCUAGGUGGGCACAGUUGAUAUGAUUAAAACACAUUGUGCAUACUUUGGUGAGCUGUUCCGGGUAGAAUGCUGCAGGUUUGAAAUAAAAAUUCUGUUGUGCCUGUUGGACAUUUCACCUAUCUCAUCUUUUAAUUCUUCAGCAGCUCCGUUGCUUGUCUGAAAACAUGUGGCAGACCCUGGGGAGAAGGCAAGGGUUGCAGGAAGAGAGGAAGCUGGAUGUCAGAAACCACUAGAAAUUUUUGUAAGGUCACGAAUCCCCCAGAUGACUGAUUGAAAAAUGCUGCAGUAUUGCUUUCCUGGACCUCUUCCUCAGCAUUCCUAUAAAGCAAAAAAAAAAAAAAAAAAAAAAAAAAGAAAAAAGAGAGAG